CACCAGGUCAGGACACGGUAAGGAUUGACGGACUGAAGGCUCUUUCUCGAUUCCGUGGAAAGUGGUGCAUGGCCGUUUUGGUUGGUGGAUCGAUCCGUCUGGUUAAUUCCGUUAACGAACGAGACCUCGGCACUCCGAAUAGCGCGGCGGACGUCGCGGCCUCCGGGCCGUCUUCCGCACGAGCUUCUUAGAGGGACCGUCCCCCGCCGGGGAAGGAGGUGCGAGGCAACGACAGGUCUGUGAUGCCCUUAGAUGUUCUGGGCCGCACGCGCAUUACACUGACGCGUCCAACGGGUGACUCCCGACCCGAAGGGGCCGGGGAAUCCGCAAGGCGCGUCGUGAUGGGGAUUGAACGUUGCAAUUGUUGUUCACGAACGAGGAAUUCCUAGUAGGCGCGGGUCAUCAACCCGCGCCGAUUACGUCCCUGC
This 428-nucleotide ribosomal RNA is filed under the name uncultured eukaryote. Its description in RNAcentral is "bacterial SSU rRNA". It matches the Rfam family "Eukaryotic small subunit ribosomal RNA", at positions 1216 to 1656 of the family's 1831-position model. The record is from RNAcentral.